AUGCAACGCCACGGCGCCGCCUGCAGCAUUGCGUGCCACCACGGCGCCGGCGUGUUCGUGCUGCCGCAGGUCUACGAUCCUCGCGCCACGCAUGGGCAGUACGACUUGGCCUCGCUGUCGGACAUGGUGGCUCCAUACACUGACUACAAUGGCGGCAACCCCGCCGUCGGAUGGGCGCCUCCGGAGGUGGACUCGGUGGACGAUGACGGUCGGGCGGCGCGCCGCGGCAACGGCGACGAGAGGAAGACGAGGCGGCUGGCGUCGAACCGCGAGUCGGCAAGGCGGUCGCGGGUGAGGAAGCAGAGGCGGCUGGACGAGCUGUCGUCGCGGGCGGCGCGGCUCCGGGCGGCCAACCAGCGGCUCCUCGUGGAGCUCAACCGCGUGCUCGCCGAGCACGGCCGCGUGGCCCGCGAGAGCGCCCGGCUCCGGGAGGAGGCCUCCGAGCUGCGGGGGAAGCUCGACGGGAUGGGGGUGGACGAGGCCGAUGAUGUUGCUCCGCAGAGCACAAAGGGCACCGGCAAUACGGCUUAG
Molecule: ribosomal RNA, 531 nt
Filed under: Triticum aestivum (bread wheat)
Lineage: Eukaryota; Viridiplantae; Streptophyta; Magnoliopsida; Poales; Poaceae
Description: partial small subunit ribosomal RNA
Source: RNAcentral